Long non-coding RNA from Trifolium pratense (red clover), 1422 nucleotides. RefSeq lists it as uncharacterized. The transcript is spliced from 2 exons. The record is from RefSeq and is a predicted model, not a curated record. NCBI's taxonomy places the organism in Eukaryota, Viridiplantae, Streptophyta, Magnoliopsida, Fabales, Fabaceae.
CUCUAAAUCCGUGUCUAAAAUGUCUAAAUUAUUUUAAGAAAUAAACCAAAUUUAUGCAGAGACAGAAUAUAGAGACGGAUGAGAGUGGAGACCAAAUUAAUUCAGUCUCUAAAUAAAAAAUAAUAAUUAAAACAAAAUUUUUUCUCUGUUAUUUGUAUUGGAACCAAAACUUUACUUUCACUUGAAGAAUCCCUCCAACUCCAAAAUUUCCCUAAUUUCCAUUUUCACUUCCCCCCAUCAUUUCCCUCUCAAAUAAAAUUUCCCUAAUUCGAUUUUGACAAAACCCUAACUGCAAUUUCAUUUCCACAAAGAAGACCUAAUUCUAUUUCACAUUCGCUCUUAAGCAAAACCCUAAUUUCAUUUUUGUGUUCUUCUAGUGUUUCUGUUGUUCGUUUUUGCUCCCGAAUUUUUCUUGAUCUAUCGUUCAUCUGGGUUACUUUCGUUCGUCUAGGUUGCUUUCUUUCAUUUGGGUUCCUCUCAUUCUUGUGUUUGUCUGGUUUCCUUUCGUUCAUUUGGGUUCCUCUUGUUCCAUCUAAUUCUUGUGUACCUUUCGUUCCUCUAAUCAGUUCAAUCUUUUGUUGCUACUCUUAAUUCACAUUCACUCCUAAUUUCAUCACCACCUAAUACCCAUUUUCCACACACAAUGACACUAUUGGGCUCAGUCUUUCAAACAAGGAUUGCUUCAUAUGUUGAUUUGUCAUCUCAGGAUAAAGAGGAUGGAUAUUAGCUUAAUAGGUAUUUUAUUAAUUUGAUUUGAUUUCUCUAUUACUACAGUUUGUUCUCUACAGUAAUUUAUCUGCUUUUCUUCCUGCUAUAUGUUCUGAAUUGAUUUCUUUGUUGGUUUUAUUUUCCAUUAACUUUUGAUGUUCUUUCAUUUUUGCAAUCAAAUUAAGAAAUGUUGGCACUAAAAGGGGCGUGAGUUUCAUUUGUGAACUCAUUGCCUGUCUAUGACAAUGUGACAUUUGACAAACUCUUAGCUACAACUAGUUAGCUAAGUUGUGUUUUAUGCACCAUUGCAGCAGAACGCCGAACUCUAUGUGUAGAACCGGAACUUGUGAUUUACAAUUCAUAGCCACAGUAGAAUUUAGAGUUAUCAUGGUGGUGUUGAAAAUUUUGGGGUGAUACAGGCCCUUGAUCCUAACACAAAUGCAGUUAUAAUUUAUAUGUAUAAUAUGCUUUACUGUAUACUUUAAUAUAUAAGUUGGUUUUUGUUUUGUUAAAUUCUUGCUCCAGCUUCACUAAUUGUGAACUUAUAAUCAUGUGUAGCUAAAUCAUUUGGUUGUGGCAGUAGUUGUAAUUGAGCUUGAGUAAUAAUCCUGUUGGUUAGGGGCACAUCUAACUGUACCAUGGUAUAGCUUGAAGAUAACUUAAUAUGAACUAGAAGCAUGAUUGAAUGUCUCUGGAAAAAAAAAACAUACAAAA